UACGGGGGGGGCAAGCGUUGUCCGGAAUUACUGGGCGUAAAGGGCUCGUAGGCGGCCAACUAAGUCGGAUGUGAAAUCCCCAGGCUUAACCUGGGAACUGCAUCCGAUACUGGAUGGCUUGAAUCCGGGAGAGGGAUGCAGAAUUCCAGGUGUAGCGGUGAAAUGCGUAGAUAUCUGGAGGAAUACCGGUGGCGAAGGCGGCAUCCUGGACCGGCAUUGACGCUGAGUGAGCGAAAGCCAGGGGAGCAAACGGG
Molecule: ribosomal RNA, 254 nt
Filed under: uncultured bacterium
Lineage: Bacteria
Description: partial 16S ribosomal RNA
Rfam family: Bacterial small subunit ribosomal RNA
Source: RNAcentral